Long non-coding RNA from Pseudoliparis swirei, 2210 nucleotides. RefSeq lists it as uncharacterized. NCBI's taxonomy places the organism in Eukaryota, Metazoa, Chordata, Actinopteri, Perciformes, Liparidae. The record is from RefSeq and is a predicted model, not a curated record. The transcript has 4 exons.
CCGGGAUGGAGGAGAACCUCUCCAGCAUUAAGUCGUCCGUGUGAUGGUGGAGGUGCUGGUGAUGCAGCGCCGAGUCGUGGAGCCCCAAUCACGCUGAAGUUCACAGACCCAGACCAAACAAGAUUUGCACUCUCCGCCGCUUCUCAACUUGGCCCAUUUAAACAGCGGCGGCUCGGCGGAGCCGCGAGAGGAGGGGGGACUGCGACGGACGACGCUUAAGUGCGUAAACUGGAGUGACCAUCUGACGCCACUUUUCCCUCUCUUCUCCAACUUCCACUCACCUGCUGCGGUCGCCUUAAACUAUGUGUUAUGUUCCCCUGAGCUCCUGGAGCUCGUGAGCCGAACCACAUCUGACCCCCAUCAGUGGAGAACCACCCAGGUGGAUCCACCACCAACACAUGGAAUAGCCAUUCCAGAAGCAGAGGUGGGGUCCAAAACGCCGUGUGUCAGGGGCCUAUAAAUCAGGCCAAACUGCCUCUGACACACACAGGAAGGAGGCACACCGCACCGCAGGCGGAAGCGGUACACGGGGAGGCCAGAGACCACAGCAUGGCCAGAGCUGGUGUCGUGCCUACAGCCGGCAGGCAAGCAGACAUUUACAAAAACACCCGGCAGCUACCUCAUCGAAGACAGCGAGGGACAGAAGAUUGACGUUCCUCCUUCUGGAACUGAGGAGUUGUGAUGUCUCAGGAAAAUGUCAUGGAAUGAAUGGGUUUGUGUUUGUGGAUCCGAAAGAGACCAAAAAUGAUUUUAACUGAAAUCUUUUACCCAAGAGCUUCUACCUUUAGAAGUGAACGCCGUGUGCUAAAUGAAAUCGAAAGGCAGGAUUUCAAACCAACCAGUAAUGUCCCUUCACAUGUGUUGGUAAGCGCUCUAAACACAAGCAGUGACAUCAAUCAUGAGCUGUUGACAUGUAUGGCGUAUGUUUACAAACCCAUUUCUAGGAAGUGGAACAUGACGUUUCAGAGGAGACGCUCUUUGAUUCUGUCUCCACCCAACCAGCCCUCACCACAUCGACAUGUCGGGAUGGAAACCUUGCUGAUGUGUGCGUUGGUGCUGGAGGUGGCAGCAUCGGGAGAGCCCUGAUGAAACCAGUCAUAAAGGGGACGCCCAUACUCACUCCUACACACAGUCACACCCCGAUUGUGACUCAUUGUCCAUGGCUCAUCACGGAGGGGUUCCCCAAACGUGUACGGUAAUGACACUUCAACAUCUUCAAAACCCGUAAACUGAACAGAGUUUUCCAUCAGCCUUUGUGUCUCUUUCAUAAAAAGAUUUCAUGUUUUUGUGAAACCUUAUUUAACCUUUGUACCUCAACCUUUUCUUACAUCUUGCUUCUUCUACUCCUGUGUAAAAAAACUAAGCUGCUCAAUACACCCCAUGAAUUUAGAAAAAAUUAGUAAAUACUAAUAUCAGGACAUAGCUCUAUUAUAGUAACUUUUAUUCAUGUGUCCCUCACAUGUCACAACUGAAAGAGGUUCCAACUAUUUAUUAACCAGACCAAUUUAGAGCACAGAAAUAAAUAACCCUGCAUGUUUAGAUUCUAAUAAUCUUUUAUUUUUCUAGUAUCUAUGUCACGACUUUUCAGGUUUGGUUUUAGACUCCACAGCAAGACUUUGAAUGAAGGAAUAAAAGGAAAACGAUUGCCUUUUACUCAAAAUGCAAAGAUACGAGCUCCUCACGACGAAGACACUGGUGCCGCCUCCUCUUAUAGUUUCUCUUUCUAUCACUGAAUGCCGUUUCAAGUAGGAUUCAUCUGGUGAGUCUACAACUCUAACUCCCUUCUGAGGCUGGCAGCAAACCCAUCAGUAAACACUCUUUAUUUUCAUUUAUUUCUUAUGUGUAGCAUUGGCAGAUUUCAUCAGUACCCACAGAAGAAAUCAAAUCUAUCAAGAGUUAAAAUGAUUAAAAAGAUUUUAGAUUAGACAAAUAAUAAAUAAAGAGAGAGGUCAGUACCUGGUUCCUUCCAUUGUGUUGUUAUUAUAAAUAUGUUACACUAAUGUUCACAUACAGAUCAUGUUACACUGUUUUCACACUAUAUUUUUGUCUAUCUCCAGAUAUUUUAACUCAACUGUUCUUUCUUUUAUGACAGUUUAUGUUUGUAUAACGUUUAAAUUAAAUGGUUUUCAUGUUGCUGUAAGUGUACGAAAAAGGAGCAUUUCACUUCGUGAAACUGAUAUUAUUUUAAUAAAAUGAAUGAUGAUCAUAAU